UGCNGUCGAGCGCACCUUCGGGUGAGCGGCGGACGGGUGAGUAACGCGUGNGNNUAUGCCCAGAUCUGCGGAAUAGCCUCUGGAAACGGAGAGUAAUACCGCAUACGCCCUUCGGGGGAAAGAUUUAUCGGAUUUGGAUUAGCCCGCGUUGGAUUAGGUAGUUGGUGGGGUAAUGGCCUACCAAGCCGACGAUCCAUAGCUGGUUUGAGAGGAUGAUCAGCCACACUGGGACUGAGACACGGCCCANACUCCUACGGGAGGCAGCAGUGGGGAAUCUUAGACAAUGGGGGAAACCCUGAUCUAGCCAUGCCGCGUGAGUGACGAAGGCCCUAGGGUCGUAAAGCUCUUUCGCCAGGGAAGAUAAUGACGGUACCUGGUAAAGAAACCCCGGCUAACUCCGUGCCAGCAGCCGCGGUAAUACGGAGGGGGUUAGCGUUGUUCGGAAUUACUGGGCGUAAAGCGCGCGUAGGCGGACUUUUAAGUUAGAGGUGAAAUCCCAGGGCUCAACCCUGGAACUGCCUUUAAUACUGGAAGUCUUGAGUUCGAGAGAGGUGAGUGGAAUUCCGAGUGUAGAGGUGAAAUUCGUAGAUAUUCGGAGGAACACCAGUGGCGAANGCGGCUCACUGGCUCGAUACUGACNCUGANGUGCGAAAGUGUGGGGAGCAAACAGGAUUAGAUACCCUGGUAGUCCACACCGUAAACNAUGAAUGCCAGACNUCNGGUAGCAUGCUANUCNNUGUCACACCUAACNGANUAANCNUUCCGCCUGGNGANUACGGNCGCNAGANUAAAACUCAAAGGAAUUNACGGGGCCCGCA
This 818-nucleotide ribosomal RNA is filed under the name uncultured bacterium. RNAcentral's name for it is "partial 16S small subunit ribosomal RNA". It matches the Rfam family "Bacterial small subunit ribosomal RNA", at positions 56 to 925 of the family's 1533-position model. The record is from RNAcentral.